RNAcentral lists this ribosomal RNA (253 nucleotides) under uncultured bacterium. Its description in RNAcentral is "partial 16S ribosomal RNA". It matches the Rfam family "Bacterial small subunit ribosomal RNA", at positions 524 to 776 of the family's 1533-position model. The record is from RNAcentral.
UACGAGGGGGGCAAAUGUUGUUCGGAAUCACUGGGCGUAAAGGGAGCGUAGGCGGGUUUUUAAGUCAGGUGUUUAAUCCCGGGGCCCAACCCCGGACAGGCGCUUGAAACUGGGAAUCUUGAAUAGGGGAGAGGUCAGUGGAAUUGGAGGUGUAGCGGUGGAAUGCGUAGAGAUCUCCAAGAACACCAGUUGCGAAGGCGGCUGACUGGACCCAUACUGACGCUGAGACUCGAAAGCAUGGGGAGCAGACAGG